GAAGCGGGGGAGCUUAUAAAUAGGCUGAGAGGAAGUUUAAAACUUCGACCCAUAAACCUGAUUUGGAUAAUGCCAACGUAGGAACCC
RNAcentral lists this non-coding RNA (87 nucleotides) under Candidatus Neoanaerotignum tabaqchaliae. RNAcentral describes it as "TPP riboswitch (THI element)". It matches the Rfam family "TPP riboswitch aptamer (THI element)", at positions 11 to 88 of the family's 105-position model. Rfam says of the family: Vitamin B(1) in its active form thiamin pyrophosphate (TPP) is an essential coenzyme that is synthesised by coupling of pyrimidine and thiazole moieties in bacteria. The previously detected thiamin-regulatory element, thi box was extended, resulting in a new, highly conserved RNA secondary structure, the THI element, which is widely distributed in eubacteria and also occurs in some archaea. The record is from RNAcentral. Lineage: Bacteria; Bacillati; Bacillota; Clostridia.